Ceratotherium simum simum (southern white rhinoceros) is the source of this 256-nucleotide non-coding RNA. Lineage: Eukaryota; Metazoa; Chordata; Mammalia; Perissodactyla; Rhinocerotidae. The record is from RefSeq and is a predicted model, not a curated record.
AUCCGUGCCAUGCCUCCCCGAGAAGUACAGGACACGCGGGCCCAGGGACAGCAUGGGAGACCGAGGUUUAGGAUGAGGCCCUGCAGGAGCCCACCGUGGAGGAUGGUCUUAGCGUUGAGGGUAUUCGCUGGGUGUGAACAAUCUGGAAAUGAUUCAUCUACUUGUUUUCUGGCAAACCAACACAUUCCUAUUUCCAGGCACACGGUGACAAGGACAUACUGCGACGUGUGGCCUGUGUGGCUCAAGCGGGCCCUGG